Molecule: long non-coding RNA, 271 nt
Organism: Oreochromis aureus
Lineage: Eukaryota; Metazoa; Chordata; Actinopteri; Cichliformes; Cichlidae
Source: Ensembl
CUGAGAGUCACAGUCCGGGCUCCUCCACAAAUCAUGGAGUCAACCAGGAUGAAACUCAUGUGUACGACUCUCUUCAACAUGGUACUGCUGACGUCUAUGAAUCAGUCACACAAGUGAAAAACAGAAAUGGUACAGUAUAUGUGCUGGAAAGCACAGAGCAGUUAGAGAUGAAACUUGUUUUUGAUUUAAUGAAACUAAUUUCAUGUGAAAUGUUUUUACAAUCCUGUAAAUAAAAAUAUGAACAUUUCAGGUUCAGAUGAAUACGAUGACA